Molecule: ribosomal RNA, 448 nt
Filed under: uncultured soil bacterium
Lineage: Bacteria
Description: bacterial SSU rRNA
Rfam family: Bacterial small subunit ribosomal RNA
Source: RNAcentral
UAGUGAUUAACGCGAAGAACCUUACCUGGGCUAGACAACGGCGGACCGUCCUAGAAAUAGGAUUUUCCCUUCGGGGACCGCCGGUUCAGGUGCUGCAUGGCUGUCGUCAGCUCGUGCCGUGAGGUGUUGGGUUAAGUCCCGCAACGAGCACAACCCUCGUCCUUAGUUGCCACCAUUCAGUUGGGCACUCUAGGGGGACUGCCGGCGUUAAGCCGGAGGAAGGUGGGGACGACGUCAAGUCAUCAUGGCCCUUAUGUCCAGGGCCACACACGUGCUACAAUGGGCGGUACAAAGGGUCGCAAACCCGCGAGGGGGAGCCAAUCCCAAAAAGCCGCUCUCAGUUCGGAUUGGAGUCUGCAACUCGACUCCAUGAAGUUGGAAUCGCUAGUAAUCGCGGAUCAGCACGCCGCGGUGAAUACGUUCCCGGGCCUUGUCACACCGAAUCGAA